Hyaena hyaena (striped hyena) is the source of this 658-nucleotide long non-coding RNA. RefSeq lists it as uncharacterized. The transcript is spliced from 3 exons. Lineage: Eukaryota; Metazoa; Chordata; Mammalia; Carnivora; Hyaenidae. The record is from RefSeq and is a predicted model, not a curated record.
CCCUUUGGGAAGACACUGCGGCGGAGCUUUCUACCCGCAGGGUCUGGCCCGGUGGGAUUUGGAGCUCGCUGGGGUCUUUUCAAAACUCCUGGUAACAGCUCCAUAAGACGAGAGGAUGCAUCUUCUGUUCACCAAGGGUGUAACAGGAUGUUUGAUGCCUACUGAGACUUUAAAUAAAUGCUGAAAGACUAAACCUUCCCAAGUUAAAUAUUGAGAUUAAACAUCCCCAUAUUUCAUGUAUUCUGAGAUUCCUUUCUAGUAUGGAUUUCUUGAUGUAAAGGGUUCAUUUAGAGGGUUUGUGAUGCUCAAACCCUGCACGUUCCAAACAAAGGACUGGCCUUUGACUGGCUCCGUGGAGAAAACUUCUAAACCCUUGGAAUAUCCUGCGGGAUAAAAUUGUCUUUCUAUACCCAGGGCCUUUGUGCUCAUGUCACUUUUGCUAACAAUGUGAUUUAUGGUGAAUGCCUGUUUUUGUUAAUCUGAAUUCCUAGCCCAUGCUUUAUCAGUUUGAUCUCUGGAGGGACUGGAGACUGGGUAGCUAAGGUCAGUCCUGUGGGUGUUCCAUGCCUGCAUGACUGAUCCAAGAAGAACCCUAGACAAUAAGGUUUAGACGAGAGUCCCUUGUUUAACGACUAGGUAGUGAUAUCACUUCUCUAAU